Molecule: ribosomal RNA, 512 nt
Filed under: Penicillium expansum
Lineage: Eukaryota; Fungi; Ascomycota; Eurotiomycetes; Eurotiales; Aspergillaceae
Description: eukaryotic LSU rRNA
Rfam family: Eukaryotic large subunit ribosomal RNA
Source: RNAcentral
UUGACCUCGGAUCAGGUAGGGAUACCCGCUGAACUUAAGCAUAUCAAUAAGCGGAGGAAAAGAAACCAACAGGGAUUGCCCCAGUAACGGCGAGUGAAGCGGCAAGAGCUCAAAUUUGAAAGCUGGCUCCUUCGGGGUCCGCAUUGUAAUUUGCAGAGGAUGCUUCGGGAGCGGUCCCCAUCUAAGUGCCCUGGAACGGGACGUCAUAGAGGGUGAGAAUCCCGUAUGGGAUGGGGUGUCCGCGCCCGUGUGAAGCUCCUUCGACGAGUCGAGUUGUUUGGGAAUGCAGCUCUAAAUGGGUGGUAAAUUUCAUCUAAAGCUAAAUAUUGGCCGGAGACCGAUAGCGCACAAGUAGAGUGAUCGAAAGAUGAAAAGCACUUUGAAAAGAGAGUUAAAAAGCACGUGAAAUUGUUGAAAGGGAAGCGCUUGCGACCAGACUCGCUCGCGGGGUUCAGCCGGCAUUCGUGCCGGUGUAUUUCCCCGCGGGCGGGCCAGCGUCGGUUUGGGCGGUC